GUAAACAAGAGCAAAACUCCGUCUCAAAAAAAAAAAAAAAAGAAAAAAGAAAACCACCCUAUUGUUUCAAUGUCAGAGCCCCUAAGAGAUCAUCUGGGAGCCGCUGCCGUUCUUCAGCCAUGUUUUACACAGCUGUUUUAUCCACCACUCAUCUCAAACUCCUUAUCAGUAUUUAAAAUAUCUGCAACUGCAAUAUUUCCUGAUAACUUUCCCCCCUAACCUUGCAAAAUGUUUUUUUUCCUUCAUCCUUUACUCAUCUUUUUCUAUUGUGUAAGAGUCUCUGUGAGCUCCAUUGUUUUUAUGAUGGCAAAAGGGAAAUGGUUUUGUUUCUUUUAACUUUUAUUGCUAUGUAAUGUAACAAGCAGACAGAAAAUGCAAACACAAAUAUCUAAUUUCACAAAUAAUUACAAAGCAAAAACUGGUGUGCCGACCUCAGAGGAAACUUGCUAGCCCCAGAACCCCCCACCCUCCGCCCAUCCCCUCCCACCCACACCCUACCUGUCCCCCAGAGACAACAGCUAUUCCAACCUUCCUGAUGUUUUCCUGACUUUUCUUCGUAAUUUUCCCACUUUCAUAUGCAUCCCCCUCAAAACAUGGCUCAGUUUUACCUGUUUUUGAACUUCGUAUGAAUGAAUCAUACCAAAUGUGCUCUUUUAUAUCUUGCCUCUUUUACUCAACAUGGUGAGAUGUAUUCAUGCUUUUGGGUGUGGCUACAGUUCAUUCAUCUUUAUGCCUUACAGUGUUGGUGAGAGGCAUCCAUGCUUUUGGGUGUGGCUAUGAUUCAUUCAUCUUCAUCCCAGGUCUUGUUGGUGAGAUGCAUCUGUGCUUUUGGGUGUGGCUAUGGUUCAUUCAUCUUCAUCCCAGGUCUUAUUGCUGAGAUGCAUCUGUGCUUUUGGAUGUGGGUACGGUUUAUUCAUCUUCAUGCCAUAUCGUGCUGUGCUACAUGUGUUUUCAAGCUAUGCGAUUGUUUAUCCAUUUAUUUCACUGUUUACUGAUAAAAAUUGGAGUCCACGUUAGUCCAUUUUGCUUUGCUAAGGAAUACCUGAGACUGGGUAACUUAUAAAGAAAAGGUUUAUUUGAUUCAUGGUUCUGCAGAUUGUAGAAGGAACAUGGCACCUGCCCCUGCUUCUGGCGAGGCCUCAGGAAGCUUCCCCUCAUAAAGGAAGGCAAAGGGGUGCGAGCAUGUCACACAGUGAGAGCAAGAGAACCACAGGAGGAGGUGCUCUGCUCUUAGACAACCAGCUCUCUCCUGGACUAAUAGAGCGAGAAUUCACUCAUUACCAUGGGGAUAGCCCCAAGCCAUUCAUGAGGGAUUCAUUCCCAUGACCCAGAUACCACCCUCUAAGCCCUACCGCCGAAACUGGGGAUCAAAUCUCAACAUGAGAUUUGGAGGGGACAAACAUCCAACUGUAUCAGAAUUGUUCACAGUUUGGGCUGCUAUGACUAAUGUGCUGCACAUUUUUGUGCUGGUCCAAGCGUGCAUGAGUUUCUGUAGGGUGAGUGGGAGUGGAUUUGCUGGAUCGUAAGGUGUGUGAAUCUUCAGCUCUUCUAAGUGCGGCCAACUUGUUUUCCAAAGUGCCAGUCCCAGCUUAGAUUCUCACUAGCAAUGUAUGCCAGUCCCCAUGUCCCCUUUUCUGACUAGGAGAGCUGUAUUUAGAGAGAUAUGGGCCCCAAGGCAGCACAGCCGGUGGGUGGUUACCCAGAAGGAAGUGUGUACUCAGCAUCCUUCAUGGGCCCCUUGCAUACUGUCACAGAAGCUCUGCAAUUGAAUUUCAGUGAUGCUCAGCAAAGAACACAGAAUGGGGCCUAGGACAGCUGCUCCAGCGUCCCUCCCAAGGGGCAGGUGCUCACCAGCACUUGAUAUUGCCAGACUUUAAAAAUUUUUGCUAAGCUCGGCAGUGAUUUCUCAUGACUUUAUUUGCAUGUCUCUGAUUACUAAUAAGACUGAGCACUUUCACAUGUUUAUUACUCAUAUGAAUUUCUUCUUUUGAAAUGCCCAUUCAAGCCUUUGCCUAUUUUUUCUCUUUUUCUUAUUGAUUUGUAAGAAUUCUUUAUAUAUACUGGAUGCCAUUUCCUUGCAGUUACAUGUAUCAUGUAUUUUAUGUAUUUUCGUGUAUUUUAUAUCAUGUCUUUUCCUGCUAUGAUUUGCUAUGAACAUGCUCAUAUAACUUAGGGUUAGGGUUAGGGCUGGGGUUAGGUUUAGGGUUUAUAAACUAAAAAAUUUUUAUGAAACCUUUUUGAUUUAACUAUAACAUUAAAAGCCUUUUGUUGGUGGAAUGUACUUUACAAUAAUCUGAAGCUUUAUAGAAAAGGCCAUAUUUCUUUUAAUUAUGCAUUUAGAUGGCAGAUCAAUUUAAUAUAUUCAUAAUUCCACUAUUUUAGGCAGGUGGUGGCUUUUUAAAAGGACCUAGGAUGGUUUUUUUUUUUUUUUUUGUCAGCUUUGUAUUACUAUCUUCUCCAUAUGUUCUAACACUUAUUUUAUACUGCAUUCUUCUUUUUCCUUUCUUUUUUUUUUUUUUUUUUGCUUUGUUUUGUUUUAGAGAUGGGUCCACCUUGGUCUUGAACUCCUGGGCUCAAGUGAUCCUCCUGUCUCUCAAAGUGCUGGGAUUACAGACAUGAGCCACCUUGCCUAGCCUUAUUUUUCUAUAGAGCACUGCAAGCUCCUAAGUAUUAACCAAAGUGGAAUACAAAAGAGAACAUUUUAACAGAUGAAUCAGUCUUAAUGACCAGAAGAAACAUCACUGGGUGGGGUUGAGAGCCAGCUGUGAAUGAAGACUUUUUCUUGCCUGUUUGAAGGCUUAGAAUUAGAUACAUAGUACAUUUCUUUAUUGUUUUAAAAAAUCAUUUUAUGAAAAAGUACAUACUUGGGCAUGGUGGCUCAUGCCUAUAAUUCCAGCACUUUGGGAGACCGAGGCGGGCAGAUCAGCUGAGGUCAGGGGUUCAAGACCAGCCUAGCCAACAUGGCAAAACCCUGUCUCUCCUGAAAAAAAGAAAGAAAAAGUACAUACUCAUGGACAAAUAUAAUCCGAAUAGAAAAGAACAAGAGAAAGUAGAAGUCACUUCAAAUUCUACCAGCCAGGGAUAAUCACUGCUAAUAUUUUACUCAGCAGGCUUCCAGUCAUCUUUCUACGAUUUCACAUACAGAUAUUCUUGCCCCUAAAAAGGGGACCAUCCACUCCACGUCCCCUUUCCCUAGGGCAGGUGCUAUCCAGUUGUUGUGCACCAGACAGCAAGAGCCUGCAGGGAGAUUCUCAGUGGCCCCGCCAGCUGCUACUUCCUUCUCCCCAUUUUUUUUUUUUUUUUUUUUUGCAUUUCCAAGAGAAAUAUGGAAACAGAAGAGAGGAAAGGAAGGAA
Long non-coding RNA from Sapajus apella (tufted capuchin), 3354 nucleotides. RefSeq lists it as uncharacterized. NCBI's taxonomy places the organism in Eukaryota, Metazoa, Chordata, Mammalia, Primates, Cebidae. The transcript has 2 exons. The record is from RefSeq and is a predicted model, not a curated record.